CCUGUCCUGUCCUGGCACUGGGGCCAGAGGAGAAGGCGGGGUGCCAGCAGCCACAGCUUGCUUUGCGUUCUUCCUCAUCCACAUCUUCCCAGCAACGGGUGAGAGUUCAACUUCACAGCAACUGAACAACUAUGAGAAAUCUGAUUGAGGACAUGGAUAGGACCAGCACAGAGGAAGCUGAUAAUUCAGAGGGAGGAGAAAUUCUAUGCCAAGGAUGUGGGUUCCCACAUGCUGAAAAAUGGAGAACAAAUGCAGAAGGCUUUCUUCUUCAGCCUUCUCUGUUGCUAAGAAGCCUUGGGGGCACCUUCCUCUUGAAUGGGAUGUCCCAGUGAAGACUUCUCAGUGUAAUUAAGACAGUCAUCUCGCGGGAUUGUAAUAAAGGUAACCUUUAC
This is a non-coding RNA of Phascolarctos cinereus (koala), 392 nucleotides long. The record is from RefSeq and is a predicted model, not a curated record. NCBI's taxonomy places the organism in Eukaryota, Metazoa, Chordata, Mammalia, Diprotodontia, Phascolarctidae.